GGGGGAGGCGGGGCUUUCCGAGAGAAGAUCACCGCCGUCUUCUGAGGCUUGGUGCUUUGGCCUUUUGUUGAAGGAUCCAUCACCCAGAGAGAGUAUCUGUGUCCAGAAUCUGCCCAGCGGGAAAGUGACUCAGAGCAGCUCUGGGGUUCAGAGAGCUGAGAGGCCGGCUUUUGAUGUGCCUUUAGCAUAUCGCUGGGCGCCACCCAGGAAUCCAAAAGCCACGCAUGGGCAGACCGGGGCUGCUGUGAAAGCUCCUCCCUGGGACACUCCCUGGCUCCCUUGGGGGGAUCCAAGAUGGCAACGUGCAAGAUGGCCACCAGUAUUACAGCUGACUAUCGCCAGCAAGGAGAGAUACAUCCCAACACCUAGAACAGUACCUGGUAUCUACUAGAUACUCCAUAAAUAUUCUUUGAAUAUAAGAUUGAAUGAAAAGAUGGAGUCGAACCCGGUUCUGAUGACAUCAUUUGAGUGCUGGACCUAUUGUGUCUGAAGCAAGACCAAUUCUAGACUUCUCAGCGCUGAUUUCCUUCAUGGAAACAUGAGAGCAGGGAAAUGGCAGCUAACAAUUACUGAAAUACUCUAUGUCAAGGGUACACGGCAAGCAUCACUGCUCAUUCUCACAAAGACCCUGUAAGGUGAAGACAUUCUGUAUGCAUGGUACCGAAGAAGAAAGUAUACUCUGUGAAAGGUGGAAUUUUGGGAUGCGUGAUUGUAGCCAUUGUUUACUGAGCAUCUACUGUGUGCCAGUCCUCCAGAUGUGCCAUGACAAAAAUAACAUUCAAGUAUUUCUGGGUUUCUUCUGGAAAACAAGCUUGAGAGUAAAGAUGGCAGCUCAACACUUCUGUGAACUCAAAGGCCAAGAGAUUGACAAUGAGUGAAAUGGAUCAUGAGCCACAUUUGGUGAACCAACCAGAUCGACUCAGGCACAAAGAGAAGGUGUGGGUUUGGUGGAGUGAUGAGAGGUUCUACCCUUUCAAUUGGUUUGCCAGUCUUGAUCUGAAUUCCUCACUAAUCUCUGAAUAACAGAAUGGGAAUAAAGAGAGUUUUCAAA
This is a long non-coding RNA of Zalophus californianus (California sea lion), 1051 nucleotides long. RefSeq lists it as uncharacterized. The transcript is spliced from 7 exons. The record is from RefSeq and is a predicted model, not a curated record. Lineage: Eukaryota; Metazoa; Chordata; Mammalia; Carnivora; Otariidae.